CCAAAGGCUCUUUUCAGAGCCCCCCCCCCCCCCAAAAAAAAAAAA
This is a non-coding RNA of Bos taurus (domestic cattle), 45 nucleotides long. The record is from Rfam. NCBI's taxonomy places the organism in Eukaryota, Metazoa, Chordata, Mammalia, Artiodactyla, Bovidae.